AGCUCCAAUAGCGUAUAUUAAAGUUGUUGCAGUUAAAAAGCUCGUAGUCGGAUUUUGGCAUCACGCCGAACUGUCAGCCGAUUGGUUUGUACGGUUUGGCGGGUGCUCUCCUUCCGGAAGCUCGUUCCCUUCUUAGUUGACGGGUUCGAUGGUUCCGGGUCUUUUACUUUGAAAAAAUUAGAGUGUUCAAAGCAGGCCUAUGCUCUGAAUAGGUUAGCAUGGAAUAAUAGAAUAGGACUUUGGUUCUAUUUUGUUGGUUUCUAGGACCGAAGUAAUGAUUAAUAGGGACAGUUGGGGGCAUUCAUAUUCCAAUGUCAGAGGUGAAAUUCUUGGAUUAUCGGAAGAUGAACUUCUGCGAAAGCAUCUGCCAAGGAUGUUUUCAUUGAUCAAGAACGAAAGU
Molecule: ribosomal RNA, 400 nt
Filed under: phytoplankton environmental sample
Lineage: Eukaryota
Description: partial small subunit ribosomal RNA
Rfam family: Eukaryotic small subunit ribosomal RNA
Source: RNAcentral